RNAcentral lists this ribosomal RNA (485 nucleotides) under uncultured bacterium. Its description in RNAcentral is "partial 16S ribosomal RNA". It matches the Rfam family "Bacterial small subunit ribosomal RNA", at positions 30 to 506 of the family's 1533-position model. The record is from RNAcentral.
AUUGAACGCUGGCGGCAUGCCUUACACAUGCAAGUCGAACGGCCGCACGGGUGCUUGCACCUGGUGGCGAGUGGCGAACGGGUGAGUAAUACAUCGGAACAUGUCCUGUAGUGGGGGAUAGCCCGGCGAAAGCCGGAUUAAUACCGCAUACGAUCUACGGAUGAAAGCGGGGGACCUUCGGGCCUCGCGCUAUAGGGUUGGCCGAUGGCUGAUUAGCUAGUUGGUGGGGUAAAGGCCUACCAAGGCGACGAUCAGUCGCUGGUCUGAGAGGACGACCAGCCACACUGGGACUGAGACACGGCCCAGACUCCUACGGGAGGCAGCAGUGGGGAAUUUUGGACAAUGGGCGAAAGCCUGAUCCAGCAAUGCCGCGUGUGUGAAGAAGGCCUUCGGGUUGUAAAGCACUUUUGUCCGGAAAGAAAUCCUUGGCCCUAAGACGGUCGGGGGAUGACGGUACCGGAAGAAUAAGCACCGGCUAACUACGU